AUGAUACCCCAAAUUAUUAUUUUCGGAUAUAAAGACGACGCUGUAUCAUCAAAAUACAUAUUGCAACUUUCAAAACAUGCGGGAAGAAAAUUACAGAGUGAGGCGUAACAAUUUCCAACUUUGUUCGUCAUUUGAAGCUGCACGAGAACGGUAUACAGAGGAAGAGGCAUACAAAGGCCUCUACAUUAUGGGUAAGGAAACCUGUUUGAUCACCAUGCACUGCAAAAUCAUUCUGGCUAUGGAUACGGAGAGCUUCAACACAUUAACAUCAACACGCCAGAGGAUAUACCCAUUGGACUUUGCUGGGCUAUGCUGGGAGUCUACCUCAUAUUUGGAUUUUUUUUAUUCUGCUUUGUCACUAAAAUCUUUUCUUUUUUUUCUAAAAUAUUGUGUUAUUG
Oncorhynchus tshawytscha (Chinook salmon) is the source of this 398-nucleotide long non-coding RNA. Lineage: Eukaryota; Metazoa; Chordata; Actinopteri; Salmoniformes; Salmonidae. The record is from Ensembl.